GAAGGAGUGAAAACUGAGAAUGAUCACAUCAACCUGAAGGUAGCCGGGCAGGAUGGGUCAGUUGUCCAGUUCAAAAUUAAGCGGCACACACCUCUGAACAAAUUAAUGAAGGCGUAUUGUGAGAGACAGGGCUUGUCGAUGAGACAGAUUCGAUUCAGAUUUGAUGGACAACCAAUUAAUGAGACUGAUACCCCUGCACAGCUGGAGAUGGAGGACGAAGACACAAUCGAUGUGUUCCAGCAGCAGACAGGGGGAGCGUGUUAGGCGCGCGGGCCGGAGUCCCCCGGGUCUUCCUCGGUCUUGGGAUAGGGAAUUGUGGGAUGCUUCUGCCCUCGCAGAGGAUACAGAUCCAAGCCCUUCUCCUCUCUCUGACUCGCCGUGCACAGUCUGUGCGACUCCCGACGAUCUUUGCGGAGACGACGCGCCCCCUCGAAUUGGGCCACUGUGGAAUGUUCUCUUUGCUGAAGUAAAAGAUUCUUGCCUGUUUGUCCUCACUUUCCUUCCUUCUGUCACCCCCUUUGCUUCGGGGGCUGGGGUGCUGGCCCCCUGCGCUUGGGAUGCUUUCUUGGCUACAUCGUCUAAUCAUGUAAAUAACUCCAUCUGGUCACGGCAGUGGGAGGAGGGGGAAGCCUGUGCGCUGUCAUCAGCUGAAUCAGGAUCGUUGGUGCUGAUCAACCUGCCAGGCUCCUCGGAGGAGGCCAGAGCGGGGUGGGGAAGGGGCGACCUCCAGGGUUACAGAAGCUCUGGCAGGUGA
This 754-nucleotide long non-coding RNA is filed under the name Phascolarctos cinereus (koala). RNAcentral's name for it is "lncRNA (ENSPCIG00000036770.1)". Lineage: Eukaryota; Metazoa; Chordata; Mammalia; Diprotodontia; Phascolarctidae. The record is from RNAcentral.